UACGGAGGGUGCGAGCGUUGUCCGGAAUCACUGGGCGUAAAGGGCGCGUAGGCGGUGACUUAAGCGUGUGGUGAAAGCCCGGGGCUCAACCCCGGGUCUGCCGUGCGAACUGGGUCACUCGAGCACUGUAGAGGCAGGUGGAAUUCCGGGUGUAGCGGUGGAAUGCGUAGAGAUCCGGAAGAACACCGGUGGCGAAGGCGGCCUGCUGGGCAGUAGCUGACGCUGAGGCGCGACAGCGUGGGGAGCAAAC
This 250-nucleotide ribosomal RNA is filed under the name uncultured bacterium. Its description in RNAcentral is "partial 16S ribosomal RNA". It matches the Rfam family "Bacterial small subunit ribosomal RNA", at positions 524 to 773 of the family's 1533-position model. The record is from RNAcentral.